Long non-coding RNA from Glycine soja, 620 nucleotides. RefSeq lists it as uncharacterized. The transcript is spliced from 2 exons. Lineage: Eukaryota; Viridiplantae; Streptophyta; Magnoliopsida; Fabales; Fabaceae. The record is from RefSeq and is a predicted model, not a curated record.
CUUAAGGCUGCAUGUCCUUUAAUUUCUAUGUCAAUGUGGCCAUUUGAUUGGAGUGCAAUUUCUACACUUGCUCUUUACCAUUUUGAUGCCAUGUGUCAAUUUUCUUUAGGCUUAGUGUGGCAUCUUGUUCUUAAUUCACAAAUCUAGUGCACCUAUUCUCCUACAAGGUGACACCAAGCAUCACGUGAAUCAUAGUCCAAACCAUGGCUUUGGAAUUGGAGUGCAAUCAUAUGUCAAGUAUCACCUUUAUUCAUGACUAUGUGUGCUCUUCAUAGAAGAAGGACUAUGAAACUCAUGGUGCAUGGCCUCAUAUGCUUGGGGACCAACCACUUUGAGCCCAAGGGGCGGAUCAUGAGCUACUAGAGAUGAAGAGGAAAAUGAAGAUGGUGAGGCUUAGCUUGUAGAGGUCACCCUUUACGUUUGAUGCUUUUAAAUUUCAGAUUUUAGUUUUAGUACUUAGUUUUAUUUCAAGCAUGUGGUAGUUUAUGUUAGUUGUUACAUAAUUUUUAGUGUUGCUAUUGUUUUAUCUUUUGUGGUGUUAUUGAUCAUGUGAUUGAAGGUUCUACGCUUGUUUCACUUGUGCAUGUGAAUAAUUUUUUGGGGGGAAGUUUCUCUUGCAA